This is a non-coding RNA of Lipotes vexillifer (Yangtze River dolphin), 651 nucleotides long. The record is from RefSeq and is a predicted model, not a curated record. NCBI's taxonomy places the organism in Eukaryota, Metazoa, Chordata, Mammalia, Artiodactyla, Lipotidae.
AUGAAUCCACUGUGGUUCUUCGUCUUCCUGGUGUCAGCUCCCAGAGGUGUCCUGUCCCAGGUGCAGCUGCAGGAGUCGGGACCCAGCCUGGUGAAGCCCUCCCAGACACUCUCCCUCACCUGCACUGUCUCUGGAUUCUCAUUAACCAGCUAUGCUGUAGGCUGGGUCCGCCAGGCUUCAGGAAAGGGGCUGGAGUGGGUUGGUGAGAUGGGUUAUAGUGGAAGCACAUAUUAUAACCCAACUCUUAAGUCCCGGCUCAGCAUCACCAGGGACACCUCCAAGAGCCAAGUCUACUUAUCGCUGAGCAGCCUGACAACUCAGGACACAGCCGUGUAUUACUGUGCGAAAGACACAGUGAGGGGAAGUCAGUGUGUCCUGUCCCACGUGCUGGGGCAGGAAUCGGACCCAGGACUAUUGGAGAACCUCUCCCUUACCUGUUCAGUCUAUGGAUUCUCCAUCACAAACAGUGCUGACUGCUGGGACUGGAUCCCUCAGCCCCCAGAGAAAGCAUACGAGAUGUCUCUCCAAAAAUGACUCUCCACCUCCAGAGACAGCUCACAAAUUCAGUUUUCCCUGCAGCUCAGCUCCGUGAUGACCUAGGACACAGCCCUGUGUUACUGUCCCAGGAGGUUCAGUGAGAAGUCAGGGUGA